Molecule: non-coding RNA, 182 nt
Filed under: Cyanobacteria bacterium K_Offshore_surface_m2_239
Lineage: Bacteria; Bacillati; Cyanobacteriota
Description: 6S RNA
Rfam family: 6S / SsrS RNA
About the family: E. coli 6S RNA was the first non coding RNA to be sequenced, but its function was unknown until recently. It consists of 184 nucleotides that fold into an extended hairpin structure with a large single-stranded internal bulge. The 6S RNA specifically associates with RNA polymerase holoenzyme containing the sigma70 specificity factor.
Source: RNAcentral
UGCGAACUGCCGUGUUGGUGACUGCCUUUCACAGUUUUCUGAUCUGACUCCUUUUCGACAUGGGGAGUCUGCGGCGACGGCAACGUAAACCGGCCUUGAGCUGGAAACGAAACCCCGCCUUUGACACCCCUUCUGGUUCAUCCAGGUCGAACACUGGGGCAAGACGGCACAGCGGUUCACCC